GAUGAAGAACGCAGCGAAAUGCGAUAAGUAAUGUGAAUUGCAGAAUUCAGUGAAUCAUCGAAUCUUUGAACGCACCUUGCGCCCUUUGGCUAUUCCGAAGGGCAUGCCUGUUUGAGUAUCAUGAAAACCUCAACUCUCAUGGCUUGCCAUGAUGAGCUUGGACUCUGGGGGUCUUGCUGGCUUUACGGUCAGCUCCUCUCAAAUAAAUCAGCUUGCCGGUGUUUGGUGGGAUCAAAGGUGUGAUAACUAUCUACGCUUGUGGUUUUCCGCCAGGUAACCUUCAGCAAUGGAGGUUCGCUGGAGCUCAUAAAUGUCUCUCCUCAGCGAGGACAGAUUUUGACCGUUUGAUCUCAAAUCAGGUAGGACUACCCGCUGAACUUAAGCAUAUCAAUAAGCGGAGGA
Molecule: unclassified non-coding RNA, 402 nt
Filed under: soil metagenome
Description: partial contains 5.8S ribosomal RNA, internal transcribed spacer 2, and large subunit ribosomal RNA
Rfam family: 5.8S ribosomal RNA (bases 1-121)
Source: RNAcentral